Molecule: transfer RNA, 72 nt
Filed under: Heterocephalus glaber (naked mole-rat)
Lineage: Eukaryota; Metazoa; Chordata; Mammalia; Rodentia; Bathyergidae
Rfam family: tRNA
About the family: Transfer RNA (tRNA) molecules are approximately 80 nucleotides in length.
Source: Rfam by way of RNAcentral
GGGGAUAUAGCUCAGUGGUAGAGCAUUUGCCUAGUAUGCAAGUGGCCCUGGGUUCAAUCCUCAGUACUACAA